AAUGAACGCUGGCGGCAUGCCUAACACAUGCAAGUCGAACGAAGGCUUCGGCCUUAGUGGCGCACGGGUGCGUAACGCGUGGGAAUCUGCCCUUGGGUUCGGAAUAACAGUUAGAAAUGACUGCUAAUACCGGAUGAUGUCGUAAGACCAAAGAUUUAUCGCCCAAGGAUGAGCCCGCGUAGGAUUAGCUAGUUGGUGGGGUAAAGGCCUACCAAGGCGACGAUCCUUAGCUGGUCUGAGAGGAUGAUCAGCCACACUGGGACUGAGACACGGCCCAGACUCCUACGGGAGGCAGCAGUGGGGAAUAUUGGACAAUGGGCGAAAGCCUGAUCCAGCAAUGCCGCGUGAGUGAUGAAGGCCUUAGGGUUGUAAAGCUCUUUUACCCGGGAUGAUAAUGGCAGUACCGGGAGAAUAAGCGCCGGCUAACUUCGUG
This 433-nucleotide ribosomal RNA is filed under the name uncultured bacterium. RNAcentral describes it as "partial 16S ribosomal RNA". It matches the Rfam family "Bacterial small subunit ribosomal RNA", at positions 29 to 507 of the family's 1533-position model. The record is from RNAcentral.